Molecule: ribosomal RNA, 512 nt
Filed under: uncultured bacterium
Lineage: Bacteria
Description: partial 16S ribosomal RNA
Rfam family: Bacterial small subunit ribosomal RNA
Source: RNAcentral
GAUGAACGCUGGCGGCGUGCCUAAUACAUGCAAGUCGAACGAAACUUCUUUAUCACCGAGUGCUUGCACUCACCGAUAAAGAGUUGAGUGGCGAACGGGUGAGUAACACGUGGGCAACCUGCCCAAAAGAGGGGGAUAACACUUGGAAACAGGUGCUAAUACCGCAUAACCAUAGUUACCGCAUGGUAACUAUGUAAAAGGUGGCUAUACUACCGCUUUUGGAUGGGCCCGCGGCGUAUUAGCGAGUUGGUAGGGUAAAGGCUUACCAAGGCAACGAUGCGUAACGGGCAUGAGAGGAUGAUCAGGCACAAUGGAACUGAGACACGGUACAGACUCCUACGGGAGGCAGCAGUGGGGAAUAUUGGAGAAUGGGCGAAAGCCUGAUCCAGCCAUGCCGCGUGUGUGAAGAAGGUCUUCGGAUUGUAAAGCACUUUAAGUUGGGAGAGAGGCCAGUAAGUUAAUACCUUGCUGUUUUGACGUUACCAACAGAAUAAGCCACGGCUCACUUCGUG